GGGGGGGGGGUGCUAAUACAUGCAGUCGAGCGGACAGAAGGGAGCUUGCUCCCGGAUGUUAGCGGCGGACGGGUGAGUAACACGUGGGUAACCUGCCUGUAAGACUGGGAUAACUCCGGGAAACCGGAGCUAAUACCGGAUAGUUCCUUGAACCGCAUGGUUCAAGGAUGAAAGACGGUUUCGGCUGUCACUUACAGAUGGACCCGCGGCGCAUUAGCUAGUUGGUGAGGUAACGGCUCACCAAGGCGACGAUGCGUAGCCGACCUGAGAGGGUGAUCGGCCACACUGGGACUGAGACACGGCCCAGACUCCUACGGGAGGCAGCAGUAGGGAAUCUUCCGCAAUGGACGAAAGUCUGACGGAGCAACGCCGCGUGAGUGAUGAAGGUUUUCGGAUCGUAAAGCUCUGUUGUUAGGGAAGAACAAGUGCAAGAGUAACUGCUUGCACCUUGACGGUACCUAACCAGAAAGCCACGGCUAACUACGUGCCAGCAGCCGCGGUAAUACGUAGGUGGCAAGCGUUGUCCGGAAUUAUUGGGCGUAAAGGGCUCGCAGGCGGUUUCUUAAGUCUGAUGUGAAAGCCCCCGGCUCAACCGGGGAGGGUCAUUGGAAACUGGGAAACUUGAGUGCAGAAGAGGAGAGUGGAAUUCCACGUGUAGCGGUGAAAUGCGUAGAGAUGUGGAGGAACACCAGUGGCGAAGGCGACUCUCUGGUCUGUAACUGACGCUGAGGAGCGAAAGCGUGGGGAGCGAACAGGAUUAGAUACCCUGGUAGUCCACGCCGUAAACGAUGAGUGCUAAGUGUUAGGGGGUUUCCGCCCCUUAGUGCUGCAGCUAACGCAUUAAGCACUCCGCCUGGGGAGUACGGUCGCAAGACUGAAACUCAAAGGAAUUGACGGGGGCCCGCACAAGCGGUGGAGCAUGUGGUUUAAUUCGAAGCAACGCGAAGAACCUUACCAGGUCUUGACAUCCUCUGACAACCCUAGAGAUAGGGCUUUCCCUUCGGGACAGAGUGACAGGUGGUUGCAUGGUUGUCGUCAGCUUCGUGUCGUGAGAUGUUGGGUUAAGUCCGCAACGAGCGCAACCUUUGAUAUCUUAGUGCCAGCAUCAGUUGGGCACUCUUAAGGUGACUUGGCGGU
Molecule: ribosomal RNA, 1137 nt
Filed under: Bacillus sp. (in: firmicutes)
Lineage: Bacteria; Bacillati; Bacillota; Bacilli; Caryophanales; Bacillaceae
Description: bacterial SSU rRNA
Rfam family: Bacterial small subunit ribosomal RNA
Source: RNAcentral